Molecule: ribosomal RNA, 252 nt
Filed under: uncultured bacterium
Lineage: Bacteria
Description: partial 16S ribosomal RNA
Rfam family: Bacterial small subunit ribosomal RNA
Source: RNAcentral
UACGUAGGGUGCGAGCGUUGUCCGGAAUUAUUGGGCGUAAAGAGCUUGUAGGCGGUUUGUCGCGUCUGCCGUGAAAAUUCGAGGCUCAACCUCGAACUUGCGGUGGGUACGGGCAGACUAGAGUGUGGUAGGGGAGACUGGAAUUCCUGGUGUAGCGGUGAAAUGCGCAGAUAUCAGGAGGAACACCGAUGGCGAAGGCAGGUCUCUGGGCCACUACUGACGUGAGAAGCGAAAGCAUGGGGAGCGAACAGG